Molecule: ribosomal RNA, 468 nt
Filed under: uncultured bacterium
Lineage: Bacteria
Description: partial 16S ribosomal RNA
Rfam family: Bacterial small subunit ribosomal RNA
Source: RNAcentral
GACGAACGCUGGCGGCGUGCUUAACACAUGCAAGUCGAACGGAAAGGCCCUGCUUUUGUGGGGUGCUCGAGUGGCGAACGGGUGAGUAACACGUGAGUAACCUGCCCUUGACUUUGGGAUAACUUCAGGAAACUGGGGCUAAUACCGGAUAGGAGCUCCUGCUGCAUGGUGGGGGUUGGAAAGUUUCGGCGGUUGGGGAUGGACUCGCGGCUUAUCAGCUUGUUGGUGGGGUAGUGGCUUACCAAGGCUUUGACGGGUAGCCGGCCUGAGAGGUUGACCGGCCACAUUGGGACUGAGAUACGGCGCAGACUCCUACGGUAGGCGGCAGUGGGGAAUAUUGCACAAUGGGCGGGAGCCUGAUGCAGCAACGCCGCGUGCGGGAUGACGGCCUUCGGGUUGUAAACCGCUUUCGCCUGUGACGAAGCGUGAGUGACGGUAAUGGGUAAAGAAGCACCGGCUAACUACGUG